Molecule: ribosomal RNA, 254 nt
Filed under: uncultured bacterium
Lineage: Bacteria
Description: partial 16S ribosomal RNA
Rfam family: Bacterial small subunit ribosomal RNA
Source: RNAcentral
UACGUAGGGGGCGAGCGUUGUCCGAAGUUACUGGGCGUAAAGCGCGCGUAGGCGGGGGAUUAAGUGAGAGGUGAAAGGCUGGGGCUCAACCCCAUGCAGUGCCUCUCAUACUGGUCUUCUUGAGGGCGGUAGGGAGAAGUGGAAUGGCUGGUGUAGCGGUGAAAUGCGUAGAUAUCAGUCGGAACACCGAUGGCGAAGGCGGCUUCUUGGGCCGUUCCUGACGCUGAGGCGCGAAAGCUGGGGGAGCGAACGGG